GAAAUGCGAUAAGUAAUGUGAAUUGCAGAAUUCAGUGAAUCAUCGAAUCUUUGAACGCACCUUGCGCUCCUUGGUAUUCCUUGGAGCAUCCCUGUUUGAGUAUCAUGAAAUCUUCAAAGUAAAUCUUUUGUUAACUCAAUUGGUUUCUACUUUGGUAUUGGAGGUCUUUGCAGCUUCACACCUGCUCCUCUUUGUUCAUUAGCUGGAUCUCAGUGUUAUGCUUGGUUCCACUCGGCGUGAUAAGUUAUCUAUCGCUGAGGACACUGUAAAAGGUGGCCAAGGUAAAUGCAGAUGAACCGCUUCUAAUAGUCCAUUGACUUGGACAAUACUUUUAUGAUCUGAUCUCAAAUCAGGUAGGACUACCCGCUGAACUUAAGC
This 378-nucleotide unclassified non-coding RNA is filed under the name plant metagenome. RNAcentral describes it as "partial contains 5.8S ribosomal RNA, internal transcribed spacer 2, and large subunit ribosomal RNA". The stretch from base 1 to 105 matches the Rfam family "5.8S ribosomal RNA", at positions 50 to 154 of the family's 154-position model. The record is from RNAcentral.